UUUCCGUAGGUGAACCUGAGGGAGGAUCAUUACAGAGUUCAUGCCCUCACGGGUAGAUCUCCACCCUUGAAUAUUUAUACCUUAGUUGCUUUGGCAGGCCGUGGAAACACCAUGGGCUCCGGCUUAUGCGUGCCUGCCAGAGGAAACAAACUCUGUUUCUAGUGAUGUCUGAGUACUAUAUAAUAGUUAAAACUUUCAACAACGGAUCUCUUGGUUCUG
RNAcentral lists this unclassified non-coding RNA (219 nucleotides) under plant metagenome. RNAcentral's name for it is "partial contains small subunit ribosomal RNA, internal transcribed spacer 1, and 5.8S ribosomal RNA". The record is from RNAcentral.